GACCUUUCCGGUGGCCUAAGUGGUAAGAGUGUCCGCUUUGGAUGCGGAAGAUCGUUGUUUCGAAUGCCGGUCGAGUCA
Molecule: non-coding RNA, 78 nt
Organism: Potamilus streckersoni
Lineage: Eukaryota; Metazoa; Mollusca; Bivalvia; Unionida; Unionidae
Source: the annotation of a GenBank genome assembly